GACGAACGCUGGCGGCGUGCUUAACACAUGCAAGUCGAACGGUGAAGCGCUUGCCUUUUUGGUGGGUGUGGAUGAGUGGCGAACGGGUGAGUAACACGCGAGUAACCUGCCCUCUUCUUCUGGAUAACCUCAUGAAAGUGGGGCUAAUACGGGGUAUUCCGGGUCUGUCGCAUGGCGGGUUUGGGAAAGAUUGCGCCUUUGGGUGUUUUCGGUGGGGGAUGGGCUCGCGGCCUAUCAGCUUGUUGGUGGGGUGAUGGCCUACCAAGGCGGUGACGGGUAGCCGGCCUGAGAGGGUGGACGGCCACACUGGGACUGAGACACGGCCCAGACUCCUGCGGGAGGCAGCAGUGGGGAAUAUUGCACAAUGGGCGCAAGCCUGAUGCAGCGACGCCGCGUGAGGGAUGGAGGCCUUCGGGUUGUGAACCUCUUUCGCCAGUGAAGCAGGCCUGCUCCUGUGUGGGUGGGUUGACGGUAGCUGGAUAAGAAGCGCCGGCUAACUACGUG
RNAcentral lists this ribosomal RNA (504 nucleotides) under uncultured bacterium. RNAcentral describes it as "partial 16S ribosomal RNA". It matches the Rfam family "Bacterial small subunit ribosomal RNA", at positions 28 to 507 of the family's 1533-position model. The record is from RNAcentral.